AACGAACGCUGGCGGCAGGCCUAACACAUGCAAGUCGAGCGAGGACUUCGGUCCUAGCGGCGGACGGGUGAGUAACGCGUGGGAACGUGCCCUUUGCUUCGGAAUAGCCCUGGGAAACUGGGAGUAAUACCGGAUGAGCCCUUUGGGGGAAAGAUUUAUCGGCGAAGGAUCGGCCCGCGUUGGAUUAGGUAGUUGGUGGGGUAAUGGCCUACCAAGCCGACGAUCCAUAGCUGGUUUGAGAGGAUGACCAGCCACACUGGGACUGAGACACGGCCCAGACUCCUACGGGAGGCAGCAGUGGGGAAUCUUAGACAAUGGGGGAAACCCUGAUCUAGCCAUGCCGCGUGAGCGAUGAAGGCCUUAGGGUUGUAAAGCUCUUUCAGCUGGGAAGAUAAUGACGGUACCAGCAGAAGAAGCCCCGGCUAACUCCGUG
RNAcentral lists this ribosomal RNA (433 nucleotides) under uncultured bacterium. RNAcentral's name for it is "partial 16S ribosomal RNA". It matches the Rfam family "Bacterial small subunit ribosomal RNA", at positions 29 to 507 of the family's 1533-position model. The record is from RNAcentral.